This 646-nucleotide long non-coding RNA is filed under the name Prunus dulcis (almond). Its description in RNAcentral is "sRNA ncRNA". The record is from RNAcentral. Lineage: Eukaryota; Viridiplantae; Streptophyta; Magnoliopsida; Rosales; Rosaceae.
CAUGCUCAAACCCCUACUUUGAAGGACCACCUUCCUCUUUUUACAAAACCAUCUCUUUAAAAACCAGACCUUUUACCUCUCACUCACACAUUCAUUUCUCAAAAACCAAAACUUUUUCCUCUCAGUCUCAGUCCUUAAUUCAUCACAAACCAACAACUCAACAUAGAAAAAAUCUCAUCAUAUCAAGCCACAUUCAACAAUGGCUGAAGAAGAUCCACAAGAAAAGGUCGACCGUGAGCGCAUUUUCAAGCGCUUCGACACCAACGGUGACGGGAAAAUCUCUGCAUCGGAACUAGGGGAUGCAUUGAAAACCCUCGGCUGCGUUCAAUCGGACGAAGUGAAAUUUAUGAUGGCAGAGAUUGAUACCGACGGUGACGGCUACAUUUCGUACCAGGAAUACAUAGCUUUUGCUAUAGCUAACCGUGGUUUAAUGAAGGAUAUUGCUAAGAUAUUUUAGUUAUAUGUUCUAUUCAAUUUAUUUAUGUCAUUCUCUUUUAUGUGUGUUAAUGUGACUCAUUCCAUGCCUAUGAGACGUGCAUUGAUUGUUUUUCUUCAUUUUGAAUUUUUCUAGAACAGAAAUGCUUUGGUAGUUUAACUGUAAACUUCUUAUUUUCUCAUCCUAUACAUAUGGUACAUUUAAUUCAAG